UAGCCAUCAGAGUGAGCAUGAUAAGCCCUCGU
This 32-nucleotide non-coding RNA is filed under the name Mus musculus (house mouse). The record is from RNAcentral. Lineage: Eukaryota; Metazoa; Chordata; Mammalia; Rodentia; Muridae.